This 644-nucleotide ribosomal RNA is filed under the name uncultured marine bacterium. Its description in RNAcentral is "bacterial SSU rRNA". It matches the Rfam family "Bacterial small subunit ribosomal RNA", at positions 232 to 885 of the family's 1533-position model. The record is from RNAcentral.
CGCGGCCUAUCAGCUUGUUGGUGAGGUAAUGGCUCACCAAGGCGUCGACGGGUAGCCGGCCUGAGAGGGUGACCGGCCACACUGGGACUGAGACACGGCCCAGACUCCUACGGGAGGCAGCAGUGGGGAAUAUUGCACAAUGGGCGGAAGCCUGAUGCAGCAACGCCGCGUGAGGGAUGACGGCCUUCGGGUUGUAAACCUCUUUUAGCAGGGAAGAAGCGAAAGUGACGGUACCUGCAGAAAAAGCACCGGCUAACUACGUGCCAGCAGCCGCGGUAAUACGUAGGGUGCAAGCGUUAUCCGGAAUUAUUGGGCGUAAAGAGCUCGUAGGCGGUUCAGUAAGUCAGGUGUGAAAGUCCAAGGCUUAACCUUGGAACGCCACUUGAUACUGCUGUGACUAGAGUCCGGUAGAGGAGUGUGGAAUUCCUGGUGUAGCGGUGAAAUGCGCAGAUAUCAGGAGGAACACCGACGGCGAAGGCAGCACUCUGGGCCGGUACUGACGCUGAGGAGCGAAAGCAUGGGGAGCGAACAGGAUUAGAUACCCUGGUAGUCCAUGCCGUAAACGUUGGGCACUAGGUGUGGGGCCUUAUCAACGGGUUCCGUGCCGUAGCUAACGCAUUAAGUGCCCCGCCUGGGGAGUACGG